This 117-nucleotide non-coding RNA is filed under the name Gorilla gorilla gorilla (western lowland gorilla). The record is from Rfam by way of RNAcentral. Lineage: Eukaryota; Metazoa; Chordata; Mammalia; Primates; Hominidae.
GCCAGGUGUGGUGGCUCACGCCUGUAAUCCCAGCACUUUGGGAGGCUGAGGUGGGUGGAUCACCUGAGGUCAGGAGUUCAAGACCAGCCUGGCCAACAUGGUGAAACCCCAUCUCUA